UACGUAGGGUGCGAGCGUUAAUCGGAAUUACUGGGCGUAAAGCGUGCGCAGGCGGCGCGUUAAGACAGGUGUGAAAGCCCCGAGCUUAACUUGGGAAUUGCGCUUGUGACUGGCGUGCUGGAGUGUGGCAGAGGGAGGUGGAAUUCCACGUGUAGCAGUGAAAUGCGUAGAUAUCGGGAGGAACACCAGUGGCGAAGGCGACUACCUGGCCUGUUCUUGACGCUGAGGCGCGAAAGCUAGGGGAGCAAACGGG
RNAcentral lists this ribosomal RNA (253 nucleotides) under uncultured bacterium. Its description in RNAcentral is "partial 16S ribosomal RNA". It matches the Rfam family "Bacterial small subunit ribosomal RNA", at positions 524 to 776 of the family's 1533-position model. The record is from RNAcentral.